This is a non-coding RNA of Acanthosepion pharaonis, 110 nucleotides long. The record is from the annotation of a GenBank genome assembly. NCBI's taxonomy places the organism in Eukaryota, Metazoa, Mollusca, Cephalopoda, Sepiida, Sepiidae.
CAGCCACAUCAUGUUGAAAUACCAGUUCCCAUAUGAUCACUGAAGUUAAGCAACAUCGAGCCUGGUCAGUACCGACAUGGGUAACUGCUUGGGAAUACCAGAUGCUGUAA